This 305-nucleotide ribosomal RNA is filed under the name uncultured bacterium. RNAcentral's name for it is "bacterial SSU rRNA". It matches the Rfam family "Bacterial small subunit ribosomal RNA", at positions 331 to 636 of the family's 1533-position model. The record is from RNAcentral.
CUUUACCUCGGGGCGCAGCAGUGAGGAAUAUUGGUCAAUGGGCGCGAGCCUGAACCAGCCAAGGCGCGUGAGGGAUGACGGUCCUACGGAUUGUAAACCUCUUUUGCCGGGGAGCAAGCGUGCGUUCGCGAACGCGCGUCGAGAGUACCCGGAGAAAAAGCAUCGGCUAACUCCGUGCCAGCAGCCGCGGUAAUACGGAGGAUGCGAGCGUUAUCCGGAUUUAUUGGGUUUAAAGGGUGCGUAGGCGGGAUGCCGAGUCAGCGGUAAAAAUGCGGAGCUCAACGCCGGCGAGCCGUUGAAACUGG